Long non-coding RNA from Gallus gallus (chicken), 1334 nucleotides. The record is from Ensembl. NCBI's taxonomy places the organism in Eukaryota, Metazoa, Chordata, Aves, Galliformes, Phasianidae.
AGUGAUUAGUGAUAUCCCCCAGGGGUCAAUGUUUGGGUCAAUGCUCUUUAGUAUCUUCCUCAGUGAGAUUGACAGUGGAGUUCAGCAUAUCCUCAGCAAGUUAGUGGAUGACACCAUGAUGUGAAGUGCAGUUGACACAUCACAGGGACAGGAUGCCAUGCAGAGGGACCUAGACAGGCUUGAGCAGUGUGCCCAGGUGAACCUCAUGAGGUUCAACAAAUCCAAGUGAAAGGUUUUGCACUUGGGUUGACGUAACAUCCACUACCAAUGCAAGCUGAGGGAUGAAAGAAUUGAACACAGCCUUGCUGAAAAGGACCUGGGGUGCUGGUGGAUAGAAAGCUGGACAUUAGCCAGAAAUGUGCCCUUGCGGCCCAGAAAGUCAACUGUAUCCUGAGCUGCAUCAAAAGGAGCAUGGCCAGCAGGGUGAGGGAGGCGAUCCUGUCCCUCUACUCUGUGCUGGUGAGGCCUCACGUGGAGUACUGUGUCCAGAUGUAGAGUCCUCAGUACAGGAGAGGCAUGGACCUGUUGAUGCGCAUCCAGAGGAGGACUUCAAACAUGAUCCAUGGAAUGGAACACCUCUGCUAUGAGGAGGACAGGCUGAAAGAGUUGGGGCUGUUCAGGCUGAAGAAGAGAAGGCUCUGAGGUGUACCACAAGAUCUGGACCGCUUGUAGGAUUUAGUAAAGUACCAGCUUAAGUAACAGUAGGUUUUCAGCUUGAACCUCAGUGGAGAAAGGUCUGACAUUGCCUGCAACCAGCUCAGGCAGAAGUUUCUGAAGGAAAGAGGAAAGAAAGAGCAGAGGGGAGGAACAUAGGCCUGAUGUAGUGAUUGAACAAUAGCUCUGCUGUAUCUUGCCUUUAUACAACCAAGAAAGGUGUGAAUAGUCUAAACUUUGCCAGUGAGUACAAAAUUACAUUUGUCAACACGUUGUCUCCUUACUGAUAUUGUCCUAAAUUUUCUGAUGUCCUUCUUCUUUACUCUUUCCUAUCACCUGAAAAUGUCACUAUCUCAGUUCGUUUUUCCUCUUCACCACGUACACAGCGAUCGUAACUGUUAUGACACUAAGAGUGGUAUUUGAGACUUUUGUUUGUUCUUUGUCAUGAUAGAAAUUAACCAUUUGUUAUAAUUUCACUUCUCUCCUAGGAACUUCGACCAAAAGCAAUACUCUGAUUCUCCUUUAACAACUGCUCAACUUCUCACUUGGCAUUCAUAGCAUUACACUGAUAAGUUAAAAGCUGUAGAGCUUGUGUAGCUACUGCAUAACUCGUUUCUCUGUUAGAAAUGUACUGGACUGAACAGCAGAAAGAGAUGGCUUCCAAAAUAGCCAAAGUUGAG